This 446-nucleotide ribosomal RNA is filed under the name uncultured bacterium. RNAcentral describes it as "bacterial SSU rRNA". It matches the Rfam family "Bacterial small subunit ribosomal RNA", at positions 8 to 447 of the family's 1533-position model. The record is from RNAcentral.
AGAGUUUGAUCCUGGCUCAGGACGAACGCUGGCGGCGUGCCUAAUACAUGCAAGUCGAACGGAAUCCAUCCGGUGGUAACACUGGUGAAGAUUUAGUGGCGAACGGGUGCGUAACACGUGAGCAACCUGCCCCAAAGACUGGGAUAACACCGGGAAACCGAUGCUAAUACCGGAUGCCCCCAUUGGUCCGCAUGGACUGAUGAGGAAAGGAAUCUGCUUUGGGAGGGGCUCGCGGCCUAUCAGCUUGUUGGUGAGGUAACGGCCCACCAAGGCGACGACGGGUAGCUGGUCUGAGAGGACGAUCAGCCCCACUGGGACUGAGACACGGCCCAGACUCCUACGGGAGGCAGCAGUAGGGAAUCUUGCGCAAUGGGCGAAAGCCUGACGCAGCAACGCCGCGUGGGGGAUGAAGGCCUUCGGGUUGUAAACUCCUUUCAGUGGGAACG